AACAGAGUAAUCAUCAUCCAAGAAUAAAAGAAUUUCAGAAAGAUAACAAAAUACGACUUAUUAGUCAACUCCCAACAUCUAUACUAGUCUGUCAAGCCUCUAAGAAAAUCAAUAAAACCAGCGAGCCAUUGAGACAUGGCCCAACUGACUCAUACUCAGUUAUCAAAUGUAAACAAUUCCGUGAAACCAACAUCAGACAUCACGUCCUCGGAACAUGAGGACUAACCACAAUAGAGGAUGUAGAAAAG
Molecule: long non-coding RNA, 248 nt
Filed under: Capsicum annuum
Lineage: Eukaryota; Viridiplantae; Streptophyta; Magnoliopsida; Solanales; Solanaceae
Description: long non-coding RNA (CANN_LNC004207)
Source: RNAcentral